Molecule: ribosomal RNA, 494 nt
Filed under: uncultured soil bacterium
Lineage: Bacteria
Description: bacterial SSU rRNA
Rfam family: Bacterial small subunit ribosomal RNA
Source: RNAcentral
AGAUUGAACGCUGGCGGCAUGCCUAACACAUGCAAGUCGAACGGGAGUAGCAAUACUCUAGUGGCGGACGGGUGAGGAAUACGUAGGAAUUUGCCCUUAAGUGGGGGAUAACCCGGGGAAACCCGGAUUAAUACCGCAUGACCUCGAAAGAGCAAAGUGGGGGAUCGCAAGACCUCACGCUUUUGGAGAAGCCUACGUCGGAUUAGCUAGUUGGUGAGGUAAUGGCUCACCAAGGCGACGAUCCGUAACUGGUCUGAGAGGAUGAUCAGUCACACCGGAACUGAGACACGGUCCGGACUCCUACGGGAGGCAGCAGUAGGGAAUAUGGACAAUGGGCGCAAGCCUGAUCCAGCCAUACCGCGUGGGUGAAGAAGGCCUUCGGGUUGUAAAGUCCCUUUUGGUUGGGAAAAGAAAAGGCAAAUCGUUAAUACCCGGUUGUUCUGACGGUAACCCAAAGAAUAAGCAACCGGCUAACUCGUGCCAGCAGCCGCGGU